GGGCGGAUGGCGGAAUUGGUAGACGCACUGCACUCAAAAUGCAGCGGGGAAACCCGUAGGAGUUCGAGUCUCCUCCUGCCCA
Molecule: transfer RNA, 82 nt
Filed under: Aliterella atlantica CENA595
Lineage: Bacteria; Bacillati; Cyanobacteriota; Cyanophyceae; Chroococcidiopsidales; Aliterellaceae
Also listed under: 6 other names
Rfam family: tRNA
About the family: Transfer RNA (tRNA) molecules are approximately 80 nucleotides in length. Their secondary structure includes four short double-helical elements and three loops (D, anti-codon, and T loops). Further hydrogen bonds mediate the characteristic L-shaped molecular structure. tRNAs have two regions of fundamental functional importance: the anti-codon, which is responsible for specific mRNA codon recognition, and the 3' end, to which the tRNAs corresponding amino acid is attached (by aminoacyl-tRNA synthetases). tRNAs cope with the degeneracy of the genetic code in two manners: having more than one tRNA (with a specific anti-codon) for a particular amino acid; and 'wobble' base-pairing, i.e. permitting non-standard base-pairing at the 3rd anti-codon position.
Source: Rfam by way of RNAcentral